GCUGGCGGCAUGCCUAACACAUGCAAGUCGAACGGUAACAGGUCUUCGGAUGCUGACGAGUGGCGCACGGGUGAGUAACGCGUGGAUAUCUGCCUAUGAGUGGGGGACAACUUUCGGAAACGAAAGCUAAUACCGCAUAAUCUCUACGGAGCAAAGCAGGGGACCUUUCGGGGCCUUGUGCUUAUAGAUGAGUCCGCGUCAGAUUAGCUAGUUGGUGGGGUAAGAGCCUACCAAGGCGAUGAUCUGUAGCUGGUUUGAGAGGAUGAUCAGUCACACUGGAACUGAGACACGGUCCAGACUCCUACGGGAGGCAGCAGUGGGGAAUUUUGCACAAUGGGCGCAAGCCUGAUGCAGCGAUGCCGCGUGUGGGAAGAAGGCCUUUGGGUUGUAAACCACUUUCAAUUGGGAAGAAGGGAUGAGUAUUAAUAAUACUCUGACUUGACGGUACCUUUAGAAGAAGCACCGGCUAAUUUCGUGCCAGCAGCCGCGGUAAUACGAAAGGUGCAAGCGUUGUUCGGAUUUACUGGGCGUAAAGAGAUCGUAGGUGGUUUGUUAAGUUAGAUGUGAAAUCCCGGGGCUCAACCUCGGAACUGCAUCUAAAACUGGCAGACUUGAGUUCGGGAGGGGUAAGCGGAAUUCCGUGUGUAGCAGUGAAAUGCGUAGAUAUACGGAGGAACACCUGAGGCGAAGGCGGCUUACUGGACCGAUACUGACACUGAGGAUCGAAAGCGUGGGUAGCAAACAGGAUUAGAUACCCUGGUAGUCCACGCCCUAAACGAUGUCAACUAGCCGUUGCGGGUAUCGACCCCUGCAGUGGCGCAGCUAACGCGAUAAGUUGACCGCCUGGGGAGUACGGU
Molecule: ribosomal RNA, 857 nt
Filed under: uncultured Zetaproteobacteria bacterium
Lineage: Bacteria; Pseudomonadati; Pseudomonadota; Candidatius Mariprofundia
Description: bacterial SSU rRNA
Rfam family: Bacterial small subunit ribosomal RNA
Source: RNAcentral